This is a non-coding RNA of Bacteroidales bacterium 43_8, 72 nucleotides long. The record is from Rfam. Lineage: Bacteria; Pseudomonadati; Bacteroidota; Bacteroidia; Bacteroidales.
GCCCUUGUAGUUCAAUGGAUAGAACGGAAGUUUCCUAAACUUUAAAUCCGAGUUCGAUUCUCGGCGAGGGUA